This 480-nucleotide ribosomal RNA is filed under the name Triticum aestivum (bread wheat). RNAcentral's name for it is "partial small subunit ribosomal RNA". Lineage: Eukaryota; Viridiplantae; Streptophyta; Magnoliopsida; Poales; Poaceae. The record is from RNAcentral.
AUGAGCCUGUCGCCGGCGCCGGAGGAGAGCUACGCGAGGCUCGGCAUCGGCUUCGGCUUCGGCCGGAGGUGGCGGCCGGCGAGGGGGUUCCGGCUCGGCGCGAGGAACCGGUUCUCGGUGCGGCGGCUGCGGGCCAAGCUGCUCACGUUCCUGGGCCUCGUCGGCCGCCAGGCGCGCCACCUCGCCAGGAGGCUCUCCAGGAGAGGCGGCGGCUCCUGCCCGCGGAACGGCAGCGCGAGGACGCUCGUGGGCGGCAACGGGUCGCAGCGGUGGUGCCCCCCGGGCGGCGAGGCGGCGGCCAGCAAGCACAAGCAGCAGCAGCAGCAGGCGCCGAGGAGGGCGGCGUCGUUCAUGCGGACCAACUCCUUCUACGCGCAGGCCAUCGCCGAGUGCCUCGAGUUCAUCAAGCGCAAUUCCGUGCCGGUCGAGGACUACGGCAGCGCCGUGGUCGCCCGCGGCGGCGGCACCGCCGGGAGAUAG